GCCAUCCUUGGGAUACCACCCUUGUAGUACUGGGACUCUAACCAUAGGCCAUGAAUCUGGUCUUGGGACACUGUCAGGUGGGCAGUUUGACUGGGGCGGUCGCCUCCCAAAAGGUAACGGGGGCGCUCAAAGGUUCUCUCAGUACGGUCGGAAAUCGUACGUAGAGUGUAAAGGCAAAAGAGAGCUUGAUUGCAAGACAUACAGGUCGAGCAAGGAUGAAAAUCGGACUUAGUGAUCCGGUGGUUCUG
RNAcentral lists this ribosomal RNA (248 nucleotides) under Clostridioides difficile. RNAcentral's name for it is "partial 23S ribosomal RNA". It matches the Rfam family "Bacterial large subunit ribosomal RNA", at positions 2185 to 2431 of the family's 2925-position model. The record is from RNAcentral. Lineage: Bacteria; Bacillati; Bacillota; Clostridia; Peptostreptococcales; Peptostreptococcaceae.